UACGUAGGGUCCGAGCGUUGUCCGGAAUUAUUGGGCGUAAAGGGCUCGUAGGCGGUUUGUCGCGUCGGGAGUGAAAACCUACAGCUUAACUGUGGGCUUGCUUUCGAUACGGGCAGACUUGAGGCAUGCAGGGGGAGAACGGAAUUCCUGGUGUAGCGGUGAAAUGCGCAGAUAUCAGGAGGAACACCGGUGGCGAAGGCGGUUCUCUGGGCAUGUUCUGACGCUGAGGAGCGAAAGUGUGGGGAGCGAACAGG
This 254-nucleotide ribosomal RNA is filed under the name uncultured bacterium. RNAcentral describes it as "partial 16S ribosomal RNA". It matches the Rfam family "Bacterial small subunit ribosomal RNA", at positions 524 to 776 of the family's 1533-position model. The record is from RNAcentral.